Molecule: long non-coding RNA, 354 nt
Filed under: Androctonus crassicauda
Lineage: Eukaryota; Metazoa; Arthropoda; Arachnida; Scorpiones; Buthidae
Source: RNAcentral
UAAUAAUACAAUGACUAUCAGAUUUUUAUUGAUUUCAAAAUUGGAUAAGAUUUUGUGCUAACAUUUUCAUCUAUAAAAAACAACAGAAUUAAUUAUUAGGCAUAUUAUAAAUGUGCCUCAUACUGUACCAAUAUUGCAGACAAAAAUCUAUGCAAUAUACAGAAGUAUCAAUUGCAUUUAUAAUAAAUAACAAUAUUCAAUAUAUCAUCUCAGAUAGAAAAACAGCACUUCAAAUUAUUGCUGGGAAUGAAAUUGAACACAGUAGUGUGUCUAAUCUGAUACAUAUGGGACAGGGGUUUGUCAGAUUUCAAAGAAUUAUCAGAUUAUUGAAUGUUCAAUGAAAAAAAUGGAAUU